RNAcentral lists this ribosomal RNA (616 nucleotides) under uncultured bacterium. RNAcentral describes it as "bacterial SSU rRNA". The stretch from base 1 to 520 matches the Rfam family "Bacterial small subunit ribosomal RNA", at positions 338 to 873 of the family's 1533-position model. The record is from RNAcentral.
CCUACGGGAGGCAGCAGUGGGGAAUAUUGGGCAAUGGAGGAAACUCUGACCCAGCGACGCCGCGUGCGGGAUGAAGGCCUUCGGGUUGUAAACCGCUUUCAGUAGGGAAGAAGCGAAAGUGACGGUACCUACAAAAGAAGCACCGGCUAACUAUGUGCCAGCAGCCGCGGUAAUACAUAGGGUGCAAGCGUUGUCCGGAAUUAUUGGGCGUAAAGAGCUCGUAGGUCGUUUGUUACGUCGGAUGUGAAAACCUGAGGCUCAACCUCAGGCCUGCAUUCGAUACGGGCAAACUAGAGUUUGGUAGGGGAGACUGGAAUUCCUGGUGUAGCGGUGGAAUGCGCAGAUAUCAGGAGGAACACCAAUGGCGAAGGCAGGUCUCUGGGCCAAUACUGACACUGAGGAGCGAAAGUCUGGGGAGCGAACAGGAUUAGAUACCCUGGUAGUCCAGACCGUAAACGGUGGGCACUAGUUGUGGGAACCUUCCACGGUUUCUGCGACGCAGCUACGCAUAGUGCCCGCCGUCGGGAGGUACGAGUCGCGAGAAGUUAAAACGUUAAAGUUAGAAGUUAGUAACGGUCGUGUUAGACGUGCCGACGGACGACGACGAGGGAGGAGG